This is a long non-coding RNA of Pleuronectes platessa (European plaice), 1522 nucleotides long. RefSeq lists it as uncharacterized. The transcript has 5 exons. The record is from RefSeq and is a predicted model, not a curated record. NCBI's taxonomy places the organism in Eukaryota, Metazoa, Chordata, Actinopteri, Pleuronectiformes, Pleuronectidae.
UGACGUGUGGCUGUCGUAAAAACCCUAUUUGUAAACAACCAGACCUUUAACUCGGGGCUGCGUUAUAAACACGGCGCGCUUGGAAGACCACGAUGUCAUCUUCCUUCUGUCAGGAGGAUCCCAGUGAAGCUACAGGAGUUUCAUUAACGUCAACAACUUGGACCGAACGGUUUGUUUUGCUUGAUGAAGAGCAGGAAGGGCAGCCUGGAGAGAAAGAGAAGCCGGGUUGAGCCCACUACCAUCAUCCACGUACCACGAGGAAGAUGAGGGAGAGAAAUGAUCCUACCAUUAAAGAGGUACUUUUAAGUUACAUACCAGAAACACCAUUUUAUAUAAUGUGCUAAAUAUACAUUUUAUUACAUCCCCAAAGUACGCUUGCUGAAAUACAAGUUUAUAUCACACUGAAAGAAUUUUGAUCAAUCAUGCUUCCCUGCUGUGAUUGUUUAACUGGGAAAACAACUUUUUCCACAGGAAGGCAAGUCAAUUUAAGGAAUACAUGUGCAAAGUUUUCCUCUGUUAUGUAUAAUGAUGACCCCCAUCAAACAUAAUGUUAGCAAUAUUUACACCUUUUAAUUUAUACUGAUUAUUUCUGUCUACAUGUGUGAAUUUGCCUUCAUUAGUUUCAGAAAAGAGCGAUGAUGUAUCGGUCAGUGGGCGGCAGCACGAGACUCCGCAAACUAGUCUGUAGGCAAAGCAGACGAAGGCAUCGAGGUUGCGGCCUGCCAUCAUUGUUAUUUUUGCUUAAAGGGCCGAAUAUGUUUCAUGCAGGAAUAUUAGCAUUUCCCUUAUAUCUACCAAAACUGCUUGUUUCCCAGACUGCAGUUUUGUUUUGAUCCGAUGUGGUGUGCAAAUACAACCGUAUCUGCAAUGGGUUGUGGGGCAUUAACAUUUGUAACUCUAAUUUUGUUUUGACAGACUGUGAAAAGAACGUUGAGAACAUCACCACUCUACAGGAAGACACAGUCCAGUAAUGGGUGUAAGAAUUUCAGUAGUGAACGACAGAAACAAACAAUCCAAAUUACCUCCAGAAAGCCCUUGAUGGACGCUUCAGCUGCAUCGUCAGACUGGAAGGACUGAUGCAUUUACUGAGACGGGACGUGAGGGCCUACUCUGCGUGCUCAGAGUUCAAGCCCAGCAGGCUGCAGCGGGCCUGACAUAUUCCGGAACAGCAGCACAGUCUUUGGAUGACUCCUCUGAAGAUGAAAACAUGGCGAGUUCUUCUCAAGAGAAGCAGUACAGGUGUGCCUCAGCUCCACGCUCCCUCCUGCAACCUCCGCUCCUGAUGCUAACCUCAUGUCUCCAUCACACCAAGCAGCAGACCUGGAUUGACAGACCUUUCUCCAGAGCUGCCCCCUCCCUCUGAAACCCCCCUCUCCAAAACACUAUUUGUGUAGUUUUUAAAGUAUUUUUUGCAUGAGAAUUGUUGAUCAUAACAUUUCCAGCAGAUGCCUUAAUGUAAUGUUUGUGCACAAUAAAUUACAUUGAUCAUAACAUAUUGGUAUUUCCUUGCACUUCUACACCA